Molecule: unclassified non-coding RNA, 2664 nt
Filed under: Schistocerca americana (American grasshopper)
Lineage: Eukaryota; Metazoa; Arthropoda; Insecta; Orthoptera; Acrididae
Description: metastasis-associated protein MTA3, transcript variant X5
Source: RNAcentral
UGAGACAAAGGACUGAAACAUUAAGCUUACCUUUGUUUGUUCUUCUUCUGUCGUCUUGAACAGGGGCACUAAUGAAGAAAAGUAUGAUCCGUUAUUAUUUCGCAAAUAAUUUGUUGACAAAAAUUCCGUCGGACUGUGCAGUGUGACGUCAUAGGUCGGUGGUGGAAGAGAGGUAGGAGAGGAAAAUGGCGAGUUGUUGCUGUGGGUUGUCCAGUGAUCCGUUGUAGUAACUGCGUGAACAGAGACAUAGACAAAGUGUGUGUUAAAUGUAGUUGUCGAAGAUAGUGAUUUGAAGUGCUGAAGACGACACCAUGACAGCAAACAUGUAUAGAGUUGGAGAUUAUGUAUAUUUCGAGACAUCAUCUACUUCGCCAUAUCAAAUUAGGAGGAUAGAGGAAUUAAACAAGACGCCGAACGGAAACGUAGAAGCUAAAGUGAUGUGCUUCUUCAGGAGACGAGAUCUGCCAAAUACUCUAAUCAUGCUGGCUGACAAACACCAAUGUGCCUUAGAAGAGGAAUGUGACAGCCGUGACAAGGAUCACCAGCUGUUGAAUGGAAAACAGCGUCAUCAGCUAAAGCAUAGAGAAUUAUUCCUGUCACGUCAGGUUGAAACGCUACCAGCCACACACAUUAGGGGGAAAUGUUCUGUUACCUUACUAAAUGAGACUGAGUCUUUGCUCAGCUAUCUCAAUAAAGACGAUACUUUCUUCUAUUGUCUGGUAUUUGAUCCAACACACAAAACACUUCUUGCAGACAAGGGGGAGAUAAGAGUCGGUAGCAGAUACCAAGCAGAACCAACACCUCUGCUUAGAGAAGAUGAAGAGGAUACAAGGAAUCUAGAAGAAUUAGAAACAUUGGUAUGGACACCAAAUCACCAUCUGAAUGAUAGGCAAAUUGACCAAUUUCUUGUAAUAUCGAGAUCGGUUGGAACCUUUGCACGGGCACUCGACUGUUCAAGUUCUGUGAAGCAGCCUAGUCUUCACAUGAGUGCAGCCGCAGCGUCAAGAGAUAUCACAUUGUUCCAUGCAAUGGAUACACUACACAAACAUUCAUACAAUUUAGCAGAAGCUAUUAGUUCACUGAUUCCAUCUACCGGUCCUGUACUAUGUCGUGAUGAAAUGGAAGAGUGGUCUGCAUCUGAGGCAAAUCUUUUUGAAGAGGCUCUUGAAAAAUAUGGAAAAGACUUCAACGAUAUUCGGCAAGAUUUUCUUCCGUGGAAGACUUUGAAAAAUAUUAUAGAGUAUUAUUAUAUGUGGAAAACCACAGAUCGUUACGUGCAGCAGAAGCGGGUGAAAGCUGUCGAAGCAGAAUCUAAACUAAAACAGGUUUACAUUCCAAACUACAACAAACCCAAUCCAGCUGUAAUUAACAACAAUAAGAAUGUUGUUAAUGGUAGCAGUAAUGGUGAAGCUGCUGUUGGUGGGAAAGCCUGUGAAUCCUGCAGUGGUACAGUCUCAAGCCAGUGGUAUGCCUGGGGACCAUCGCACAUGCAGUGUAAGCUGUGUCACAACUGUUGGCUGUAUUGGAAGAAGUACGGUGGACUCAAAGUACCAUCAAGAAUUGGAGAAAAUGACCCUGACAGUAAAAAGAAGUCUGGAAACAUGUCUGAUGAUGAGAGGGCUCCAUCAAACUUGACUUCUCAUCGACCACACAGGUGUAGUUUAGUGAAUUGUGGAAAAGAGUUCAAACUGAAGGCACACUUGGCAAGGCACUAUGCCACAGCUCACGGUUUGGCAAUACGUUCUGGUUCACCGAGGCCCAUCAUGAAAACCCGCACAGCAUUUUACCUGUGCACGACUCCAUUGACGAGACUCUCUCGUCGCCUUUGCAGGCACAUUAUACAACCUCGCCAUGCAGCCAGAGCGCCUUUCUGGCCUAUCAAUGUUGCUCACGUCAAGCAGGAAUGCCAGCUACAUAUGGGAGGGAAGACAAUGCUGGAACUGAAAGAGUUAAUGAGAUAUCGGAAAAAAGAGAGAGGUAGUGUAACCUACAUUGCAAACAGGUUGGGACAGUCAAAUCUUGUCACUCCUGAUUGGCUAAUCCUCACAGCCAAAGAUAUGCUGCCAAAACCUGAUCAUGUUUCUUUUCCAAAACCUCCAAAAGCACCAGAUGGCACUCUCCUGUAUGAACGUGUCCCAAAUAAACCAGAAGCUGAAAAAGCUGCCCUCAAUAAUGUACCUGCACCUCUUCUGAAGCGGCGAGCUUAUGAAGAAGUGAAUGGUAUGGAUGAUCUGGAAUGGGAUGAAGGUAUUGUUGUACCACAACCGGGCCCUCCUGCGAAACGACCCAAUAAAGAAAUAGCACCUUCGCGAGGACCAGAAAACUUCCCACCUGUGGUGGGGCGAUCUGUCAUCAAUCACCUGAAUGGAAAACCCAAAAUGGCAACAAUGAUCCGUUCUGGUAGUGGUCGAAAGCAAGUAACAUCUUGGACAGAUGCACCAGAUGAUGUGUACUUUAGAUCCACAGAGGGUACCAAGUGAGUGAACUCUUCGGUACAUUAGAAGACAUGCACAUCAAAAAACCCUUAGGUGAUACAUAUGCAAGAAAAUGAGAAGACAGUUGACGGGUACGGAACUGAGGCGGGCAGCCAGGAAACCGUGGAGAAAACUCAACUUCAAGGGGACAGAUGAAAUGGUGGUUAUUCUUGACUGACAAAAUGAUCCA